This 253-nucleotide ribosomal RNA is filed under the name Lacipirellula sp. Its description in RNAcentral is "partial 16S ribosomal RNA". It matches the Rfam family "Bacterial small subunit ribosomal RNA", at positions 524 to 776 of the family's 1533-position model. RNAcentral also lists the same sequence under 1 other name. The record is from RNAcentral. Lineage: Bacteria; Pseudomonadati; Planctomycetota; Planctomycetia; Pirellulales; Lacipirellulaceae.
GACGAACCGUACGAACGUUAUUCGGAAUUACUGGGCUUAAAGGGUUUGUAGGCGGCCUUGUAAGUCAGGUGUGAAAUCCCUCGGCUCAACCGAGGAAUGGCGCUUGAUACUGCACGGCUUGAGGGAGACAGGGGUAAGCGGAACUGAUGGUGGAGCGGUGAAAUGCGUUGAUAUCAUCAGGAACACCGGUGGCGAAAGCGGCUUACUGGGUCUCUUCUGACGCUGAGGAACGAAAGCUAGGGGAGCGAACGGG